GUAUUAAUUACGUUGUGUUGUUGAGGAAAUAUUAAGCUUCUCAAUGAUCAAAAUAAGUGUUUGUCAAACUGCUAUAUAACCAGUGUAAUUUUUCUGAUAAAACGGUUUGUUCAAAUUUUUUGAAAUUUUUAUAUUUUUGUAAAAGGGUCAAAGUAAAUACUUUGUCAAAAUUUUAAGAAAAUUAAACGAGCCAAAUUAAUUUUAGUUAAAGUGUUGGGUACCACCUUAA
RNAcentral lists this long non-coding RNA (229 nucleotides) under Mytilus galloprovincialis (Mediterranean mussel). Lineage: Eukaryota; Metazoa; Mollusca; Bivalvia; Mytilida; Mytilidae. The record is from RNAcentral.